CUAUUGUAUAAAAGGAGAAAUGGUUAGCACUCCAUGACAAGAAUGGAAGAGGUCCUUGUGGUCUUCACAACACAUAUAUGGUUAAGACAGUGCCACCUACUUUGUGGCAUCUAUAACCAUGUUUUUAU
Non-coding RNA from Pelobates cultripes (western spadefoot toad), 128 nucleotides. The record is from the annotation of a GenBank genome assembly. NCBI's taxonomy places the organism in Eukaryota, Metazoa, Chordata, Amphibia, Anura, Pelobatidae.